GUGCUUGCUUCAGUACACAUACACUAAAGUCACAACAAUACAGGGAAGAUUAGCAUGGCCCCUGUGCACAGAUGACAGGCAAAUUCAUGAUGGGUUCCAUAUUUUU
Small nuclear RNA from Meriones unguiculatus (Mongolian gerbil), 106 nucleotides. The record is from Ensembl. NCBI's taxonomy places the organism in Eukaryota, Metazoa, Chordata, Mammalia, Rodentia, Muridae.